RNAcentral lists this ribosomal RNA (907 nucleotides) under uncultured bacterium. Its description in RNAcentral is "bacterial SSU rRNA". It matches the Rfam family "Bacterial small subunit ribosomal RNA", at positions 33 to 932 of the family's 1533-position model. The record is from RNAcentral.
ACGCUGGCGGCAGGCUUAACACAUGCAAGUCGAACGGUAACAGGGAUUAGCUUGCUAAUCUGCUGACGAGUGGCGGACGGGUGAGUAAUGCUUGGGAAUCUGGCUUAUGGAGGGGGAUAACUACGGGAAACUGUAGCUAAUACCGCGUAAAAUCUUCGGAUUAAGGGUGGGACUUUCGAGCCACCUGCCAUAAGAUGAGCCCAAGUGGGAUUAGGUAGUUGGUUAGGUAAAGGCUGACCAAGCCGACGAUCUCUAGCUGGUCUGAGAGGAUGACCAGCCACACUGGAACUGAGACACGGUCCAGACUCCUACGGGAGGCAGCAGUGGGGAAUAUUGCACAAUGGGGGGAACCCUGAUGCAGCCAUGCCGCGUGAAUGAAGAAGGCCUUCGGGUUGUAAAGUUCUUUCGGUGACGAGGAAGGUUGAUAGGUUAAUAGCCUAUCAAAUUGACGUUAAUCACAGAAGAAGCACCGGCUAACUCCGUGCCAGCAGCCGCGGUAAUACGGGGGGUGCGAGCGUUAAUCGGAAUAACUGGGCGUAAAGGGCACGCAGGCGGUGACUUAAGUGAGAUGUGAAAGCCCCGAGCUUAACUUGGGAAUUGCAUUUCAUACUGGGUCGCUAGAGUACUUUAGGGAGGGGUAGAAUUCCACGUGUAGCGGUGAAAUGCGUAGAGAUGUGGAGGAAUACCGAAGGCGAAGGCAGCCCCUUGGGAAUGUACUGACGCUCAUGUGCGAAAGCGUGGGGAGCAAACAGGAUUAGAUACCCUGGUAGUCCACGCUGUAAACGAUGUCGAUUUGGGGAUUGGGCUUUGAGCUUGGUGCCCGUAGCUAACGUGAUAAAUCGACCGCCUGGGGAGUACGGCCGCAAGGUUAAAACUCAAAUGAAUUGACGGGGGCCCGCACAAGCGG